AUGGAGACCGCUCCCUCCACUUUGGUGUCCCUUCUCGUCGUCCUCUUCCUCCUCUCCUCACCCGCCGCCAUGGCCCGGCCAGUCGUGGACGUGCUCACCCCCGACGUCCUCCUCGCCUCACCCGCCGCCGCGCCCUCGGCCUUGGCCCCCGGCCCCGACGUGCACGCCUCCGACUACAACGUGUACAUAGUCUUUGUCAGCCGCGCUGGUUACGUCGACUCCGUGGACUACGACGUCCGGCUGCUCGCCUCCGUCGUCGGAAGCACGGAGGAGGCAAAGAAGGCCAUGAUCUACCACUAUAGCGGUCUCGGGUUCGCGGCGAGGCUCACAUGUGAUCAAGCGGACCAGUUAGCAGGGAAGGAGGGCAUUGCAACCUUCAAGGACAAGACGUACUAUGUGGACAACGACGGUCGCUUGCCUCGAUUCUUUGAAGAGAAUGUCUGA
This 444-nucleotide ribosomal RNA is filed under the name Triticum aestivum (bread wheat). RNAcentral describes it as "partial small subunit ribosomal RNA". Lineage: Eukaryota; Viridiplantae; Streptophyta; Magnoliopsida; Poales; Poaceae. The record is from RNAcentral.